Molecule: long non-coding RNA, 1990 nt
Organism: Gopherus flavomarginatus (Mexican gopher tortoise)
Lineage: Eukaryota; Metazoa; Chordata; Testudines; Testudinidae
Exons: 5
Source: RefSeq, a predicted model, not a curated record
GGUUACAGUGCGGUGUGGCAGUGGCCGUUACUCGCUAUAGCCCAGCACCAGCAUGUGAAACUUGUUGCUGAUCAACAAUUUUGUUUAGACAUGGGGGUGUCUUCGAUAAGCAUGCGCAUGUGUCAUGACCCCCUGAAACCUGCUCGCAGCCCCCCUCAAGGGACCACAGACCCCUGGUGGAGAACCACAGCCUUAGAGGUUGUGAGGUGAUCAGAUAUUACAAUAGUGGGACCAGAAGAGACCAACAAUCAUGGUUUGUGCAAACGCUACUCCUUGCUGUGACGCCUUGCACGGCUACUCCUUUCUGAACGAGCUAAUGAACAGUCAAGGUUCAUAUGCCAUGCAAUGUACCAUGUGACAGGCAGCAAACCAGGGUGCCAUGGAGAUUUAAGGGACUGAACUGAUGAACACUUUAUACCUAGAUGCUGCAAACAAUGACGGUAUCAGUUUCUCCAAAAAGGUUAUAAGAAUCUUUUAAUAAAGUUAAGUGUUAGUCAAUCUAAAUUGAGGGGUUGUGACUAGUUCCCUCUAUAAUGGAAAAAAAGAACUAACAUGGGGCAGUUGAACGAAAAGUUCUUCCUGAUGCUUCACUACUACUGCAUUGAGACCGUUUCCUCAGUAGGAAGAAAUUAUCUACCUCUAAUUCUGCUUCUCUAUAGACUUCCUCACACAGGAUUCUCACUCCUGGGUCAGUGUCCCCGGGCAUGAAGCCAGCAGAACUCCCUCCACCACAACCCCCAAUGGGUGUCCUAUGCCACAACACUCACUCUAGUAUUGCUGCCCAUGCAUUCCAAGCCAGUUCCUUCCUUAUCUAGUCUGGGGAAGGUGUUCCCUACACAUCAGCCCAAAGUAGAUCUUUUGAUAUUUCUAACCUUCCUGGCCAAUCUAACUAAAAAAAAUAUUUUUUUGCAUGUGUCUUGGAUCUGGUGUCUUGACACUACUGUCCCAAUACACCAUCCACUGGUGCUUUGGUCACUUGAUUCAAACAGUAUCUCAGCCCUCUCCCAAAAUGUUCAGACAUCACGGCACCCUUUGGUGCUUGCUUUCCAGAACUGGCAGCACUUUGGGGCUCUGGUGCAGCCAUUUGCUCUCCAAUCAUUCGGUGCACUUUACUGCAGCCCUGAUGCAAACUUCUCCUUGUUAUUUUUGGUGCAUUAGAACAGCUCCACUGUAUCGACGCAGCCAAAUACACUCUUAGCUACGCCACCUCAAAGCACUUAACUCAGCACAUCCUACUCAGUGUCCUAUGAUGUCUGGUGCCUCCAUGCAUCUUAGCAUACUUAGGAGUUUCUGAGCUUUCCUUUCUAGAGAUGGUUUUGAAGAAGGACAAAGCAGGCUUGUGGACUUGUGGUAGAAAGAUGUCCUGUACAAAUGGUCAUAUCCAACAUCAGUGCUGCCUGAGUGUCCCGUGAUGUAUGUGGGUUUGAAAUCUGCCUACAGAUGUCUCCUUGAACACUUGGGAAAUGAAAGACAUACCUGCAGUCCUACAACUGACACGAGGUUGGCCUGGAGUGACUCAAAAGUGAAAUCCUUAGAAUGCAGGCCUGAGCUGGGUAAGACUGGGUCUGCCGGCAGCACUCAGCACAGGUGUUGACUGAGGCAGUGGUGCCAGCUUUAUGCUGGGAAGCUGAGAUGCGAAUUCAGGAGAGAGAAUCCUGUGUGUGGUGUGUUAGUGGAGAAUAUUUCGCUCUCGCUGUAGGUGUUAUAGUGCUCUAACAAACGAGGAUGGGCAAAGAGCAUCAUCCCUAUUUCACAGACAGGCUAACAGGCACAGAAAGGUUAAGGGACAUAUCCAAGGUCACACAGCAAACCGGGGCAGAGUUGGAAACACCUAGAUCUCUUGAAUCUCAGCAUGAUCCACCAGAGCCCAGCUGCCUUCUCACAAGCUCCUCUUAUACGAGUCAUUCAAAUAUCCCAUUCUGGACACAGAUUUGCUCUCUUUUCUAUGUAUCUAAAGGUUCUCCUGCCACUCACAGCUUUGAACACUUUA